UACGUAGGGUGCAAGCGUUAAUCGGAAUUACUGGGCGUAAAGCGUGCGCAGGCGGUUCUAUAAGACAGAUGUGAAAUCCCCGGGCUCAACCUGGGAACUGCAUUUGUGACUGUAGAGCUGGAGUGCGGCAGAGGGGGAGGGAAUUCCGCGUGUAGCAGUGAAAUGCGUAGAUAUGCGGAGGAACACCGAUGGCGAAGGCAAUCCCCUGGGCCUGCACUGACGCUCAUGCACGAAAGCGUGGGGAGCAAACAGG
RNAcentral lists this ribosomal RNA (253 nucleotides) under uncultured bacterium. Its description in RNAcentral is "partial 16S ribosomal RNA". It matches the Rfam family "Bacterial small subunit ribosomal RNA", at positions 524 to 776 of the family's 1533-position model. The record is from RNAcentral.